RNAcentral lists this long non-coding RNA (557 nucleotides) under Chinchilla lanigera (long-tailed chinchilla). RNAcentral's name for it is "lncRNA (ENSCLAG00000022272.1)". The record is from RNAcentral. Lineage: Eukaryota; Metazoa; Chordata; Mammalia; Rodentia; Chinchillidae.
GUCAGAACACAAGCCUAGUGUCUCUUGUUUACAGUAGAGUUUUCCUACAGACUACGGGGCUAAAGAUGGAGACAAGUAUUUACCACCUACCUGUGCAAUCACCUGGCUGCUCCUCUUGGAUAAGAUAACAUCACACGAUAAACGAGGCCAACAAGAUGAUUCAACUGGAAAGGGAGAGAUGGUUUAAAGUCAUGAUUAAUGCUACCAUGUCCCUGGCUGCCUUACUUCCUCAGCUCAUCACUGGCCUCAAAGAUUAACUUCUUUUAAUUAGUUCAGGAAUUUAUUGAAGAGUAACUGAAGAGAACAUUUGGUAAUGGCAUUCAAGGUAGAACAAGAAAUGGGAACUUUGUUUCAGAGUCAGCUUAUCCCUGGCUCCAUGUGGGUAACACAGAGGUGUCCUGAGGACACAAGUUCUUUCUUCAGACUUCCAGCUCCAUGGAUCCCAUUGCUCACUUAUGUAGUGCCCACCAUUGUCCUUAUUUCGGUUCCAUGACCUGACCAUACCAUGUUCAUUCUACUGUGAUGCUUCCAUGCAUACUGGAUUCACAUCUCUACUG